GCUAAAUUCGAACCCAGUAUAAAUAGCGGGGACGUGCGCAGCGAGCACUGUGGUUGUAAGAGACAGAAAAUCUUAAUACCAGUUUUUUUAUUAAAUCAAGAAUGAGCAAUAAAGGCUUACAGGCAAAGGGCCAUCCCAAUCAGCAACUUCCAGUCACACCAAGCAUAACCAAACGGAAACAAGCACAGCAAAGGAAUACAUUCAGCAGUCCAACUGACAGCAUGAUGUCCCCAUGUUCUUUAAAAUUGCUGAAGUCAAGAAUUCAGAAUGAUUCAAGGGAUCAAAGUAUGAACAAGAAGCAGUUUCUAAAGUCUGAUAUGGAUGACAAAGAGAAUGACCUGUCCUAGAGAGUUCUUCUACAGACUGUCCCAAUGUUUCUUUUAUGUAUAAUCCUUAUUCUGGGUUGCAAAAGGAGUUUAUUUUUAAUAUUUAUGUAUUGUCUGGAAAAUGGCAAAGUUGCACAGGGAAUGAUCCAAUGUUAAGUUACAAAUAACUUUGCUCUUCCCCAGGUUAACAAAAGAUGUUAAAUGUUGGUUAAACCAUAUAGUAAUUUAUUAUCUUGGUCUGUACACGCUAACUAAUUUUAUGUAAAUAAAUGAUUAAACUGA
Rana temporaria (common frog) is the source of this 608-nucleotide long non-coding RNA. RefSeq lists it as uncharacterized. Lineage: Eukaryota; Metazoa; Chordata; Amphibia; Anura; Ranidae. The transcript is spliced from 4 exons. The record is from RefSeq and is a predicted model, not a curated record.